This 500-nucleotide ribosomal RNA is filed under the name uncultured bacterium. RNAcentral's name for it is "partial 16S ribosomal RNA". It matches the Rfam family "Bacterial small subunit ribosomal RNA", at positions 28 to 523 of the family's 1533-position model. The record is from RNAcentral.
GAUUAACGCUAGCGGCAGGCCUAAUACAUGCAAGCCGAACGGCAGCACGGGUAGCAAUACCUGGUGGCGAGUGGCGCACGGGUGCGUAACGCGUAUGCAACCUACCUAUAACUGGGGAAUAGCCUUCUGAAAGGAAGAUUAACACCGCAUAAUAUCACGAGACGGCAUCGCCUUGUGAUCAAAUCUCCGGAGGUUAUAGAUGGGCAUGCGUGACAUUAGCUAGUUGGUGAGGUAACGGCUCACCAAGGCUACGAUGUCUAGAGGGUCUGAGAGGAUGAUCCCCCACACUGGUACUGAGACACGGACCAGACUCCUACGGGAGGCAGCAGUAAGGAAUAUUGGACAAUGGGCGCAAGCCUGAUCCAGCCAUGCCGCGUGAAGGAUGACGGCCCUCUGGGUUGUAAACUUCUUUUAUACGGGAAUAAACCCCUCGAUUCUUCGGGGGCUGAAUGUACUGUAAGAAUAAGGAUCGGCUAACUUCGUGCCAGCCGCCGCCGUAA